RNAcentral lists this ribosomal RNA (616 nucleotides) under uncultured bacterium. RNAcentral's name for it is "bacterial SSU rRNA". It matches the Rfam family "Bacterial small subunit ribosomal RNA", at positions 10 to 564 of the family's 1533-position model. The record is from RNAcentral.
AGUUUGAUCAUGGCUCAGGAUAAAUGCUGGCGGCGUGCCUAAUACAUGCAAGUCGAGCGGUAAGGCUUUCACAGAUUAUUUAAACGGAAAAGUCCAAGAAUUUUAUUCAUGGAUACUAUCCUUCAACGUUUUCACCCGGCUGGGAGAAUAAAUGGUUGAAUAAUGUGUGAAAGUACACGAGCGGCGAACGGCUGAGUAACGCGUAGGAAUGUACCCCAAAGUGAGGGAUAAGCACCGGAAACGGUGUCUAAUACCGCAUGUGGUCUAAGGACUAAAGACUUCGGUCGCUUUGGGAGCAGCCUGCGUAAGAUUAGUUUGUUGGUGAGGUAAUGGCUCACCAAGACUACGAUCUUUAGCUGGUCUGAGAGGAUGAUCAGCCAGACUGGAACUGAGACACGGUCCAGACUCCUACGGGAGGCAGCAGUAGGGAAUUUUCCACAAUGGACGAAAGUCUGAUGGAGCAACGCCGCGUGCAGGAUGACAGCCUUCGGGUCGUAAACUGCUUUUAUGAGUGAAGAUUAUGACAGUAACUCAAGAAUAAGGGACGGCUAACUACGUGCCAGCAGCCGCGGUCAUACGUAGGUCCCAAGCAUUAUCCGGAAUUACUGGGCGUAAA